This 297-nucleotide unclassified non-coding RNA is filed under the name plant metagenome. RNAcentral's name for it is "partial contains small subunit ribosomal RNA, internal transcribed spacer 1, and 5.8S ribosomal RNA". The stretch from base 1 to 54 matches the Rfam family "Eukaryotic small subunit ribosomal RNA", at positions 1778 to 1831 of the family's 1831-position model. The record is from RNAcentral.
GGAAGUAAAAGUCGUAACAAGAUUUCCGUAGGUGAACCUGCGGAAGGACCAUUAUCGUACAAAAUGUGAGGGGCAUGCGAGGGCUGUCGCUGACCCAAAAGUCGUGCACGCCCGAGUGUGUCCUCUUGCAUAAUAAUCCAUCUCACCCUUUGUGCAUCACCGCGUGGGCACCCUUCGGGAUCAUCUCGGAGGGGGGCUUACGUUUUCACACAAACUUUGUAUGCAGUGUAGAAUGUAUUUUUUGUUUUUGCGAUCACGCAAUCAAUACAACUUUCAACAACGGAUCUCUUGGCUCUC